This 253-nucleotide ribosomal RNA is filed under the name uncultured bacterium. Its description in RNAcentral is "partial 16S ribosomal RNA". It matches the Rfam family "Bacterial small subunit ribosomal RNA", at positions 524 to 776 of the family's 1533-position model. The record is from RNAcentral.
UACGUAGGGUGCGAGCGUUAAUCGGAAUUACUGGGCGUAAAGCGUGCGCAGGCGGUUCGCUGUGUCCGAUGUGAAAGCCCCGGGCUUAACCUGGGAAUGGCGAUGGUGACUGCAAGGCUAGAGUUUGGCAGAGGGGGGUAGAAUUCCACGUGUAGCAGUGAAAUGCGUAGAUAUGUGGAGGAACACCGAUGGCGAAGGCAGCCCCCUGGGUCAAAACUGACGCUCAUGCACGAAAGCGUGGGGAGCAAACAGG